This 447-nucleotide ribosomal RNA is filed under the name uncultured bacterium. RNAcentral's name for it is "partial 16S ribosomal RNA". It matches the Rfam family "Bacterial small subunit ribosomal RNA", at positions 328 to 792 of the family's 1533-position model. The record is from RNAcentral.
CGGCCAGACCCCUACGGGAGGCAGCAGUGGGGGAUAUUGCACAAUGGGGGAAACCCUGAUGCAGCGACGCCGCGUGGGUGAAGAAGCGCCUCGGCGCGUAAAGCCCUGUCAGCAGGGAAGAAAAUGACGGUACCUGAAGAAGAAGCCCCGGCUAACUACGUGCCAGCAGCCGCGGUAAUACGUAGGGGGCAAGCGUUAUCCGGAUUUACUGGGUGUAAAGGGGGCGCAGACGGCGAUGCAAGCCAGGAGUGAAAGCCCGGGGCCCAACCCCGGGACUGCUCUUGGAACUGCGUGGCUAGAGUGCAGGAGGGGCAGGCGGAAUUCCUGGUGUAGCGGUGAAAUGCGUAGAUAUACGGAGGAACACCAGUGGCGAAGGCGGCCUGCUGGACAUUAACUGACGCUGAGGCGCGAAAGCGUGGGGAGCAAACAGGAUUAGAUACCCCAGUA